Molecule: transfer RNA, 73 nt
Filed under: Paenibacillus sp. FSL H7-0737
Lineage: Bacteria; Bacillati; Bacillota; Bacilli; Caryophanales; Paenibacillaceae
Description: tRNA-Phe (GAA) (tRNA-Phe-GAA-6-1)
Rfam family: tRNA
About the family: Transfer RNA (tRNA) molecules are approximately 80 nucleotides in length. Their secondary structure includes four short double-helical elements and three loops (D, anti-codon, and T loops).
Source: Rfam by way of RNAcentral
GGCUCGGUAGCUCAGUCGGUAGAGCAUAGGACUGAAAAUCCUAGUGUCGGCGGUUCGACCCCGUUCCGAGCCA